UUAGUGUGAAUAUUGUUGUUGUUUGAGAGUGUUGUGAUUUGUGAAGUUAACAGAUGAAAAAAAAAAUGAAGAAAUGAUGAUCUUUGACAGUGUUGUGAAACGAGAACAAGAAGGAGAAUGUGUGAGAGACAGGGUUGGUCACUAACCAACUAAUCGUGCGACCAAUGUUGUUGUAAUCCCAAAUGAAAAACAGACAAACCAUGUUAGUCGUACGGAUCCUUAAUUGUAUCGAAAUUUUAC
RNAcentral lists this long non-coding RNA (240 nucleotides) under Trifolium pratense (red clover). RNAcentral describes it as "long non-coding RNA (TPRA_LNC011328)". The record is from RNAcentral. Lineage: Eukaryota; Viridiplantae; Streptophyta; Magnoliopsida; Fabales; Fabaceae.